ACCGGCGGCUCGAGUGGUGGCCACUAUUACUGGGCUUAAAGCGUUCGUAGCUGGCUUGUUAAGUCUCUGGGGAAAUCUUCCGGCUCAACCGGAAGGCGUCUCAGGGAUACUGGCAGGCUAGGGACCGGAAGGGGUGAAAGGUACUCCAGGGGUACGAGUGAAAACCGGGGAUCCUAGGGGGACCAACGAUGGCGGAGGCAUCACACCAGGUCAGCACCCACAGUGAUCCCCGAAAGAGUGUAGAGCAAAGAG
This 252-nucleotide ribosomal RNA is filed under the name uncultured prokaryote. RNAcentral's name for it is "partial 16S rRNA". It matches the Rfam family "Archaeal small subunit ribosomal RNA", at positions 475 to 726 of the family's 1478-position model. The record is from RNAcentral.